AAGGGGGAUUUAAAGGUGAAAACCGCCGGAGGAUUGGAAUAUGUCCUAUUAGCUAGUUGGCGGGAUAAAAGCCCACCAAGGCGAUGAUAGGUAGCUGGUCUAAGAGGAUGAACAGCCACAAUGGGAUUGAGAUACGGCCCAUAUUCCUACGGGAAGCAGCAGUAGGGAAUCUUCCACAAUGGGCGAAAGCCUGAUGGAGCAAUGCCAUGUGAACGAUGAAGGCCAGACAGGUCGUAAAGUUCUUUUAGAGGGGAAAAAUUUGAUGGUACCCUCUGAAUAAGUGACAGCAAACUAUGUGCCAGCAGCUGCGGUAAUACAUAGGUCGCGAGCGUUAUUCGGAUUUAUUGGGCGUAAAGCAAGCGCAGGCGGAUGAAUAAGUUCUGCAUUAAAAGCAGCUGCUUAACAGUUGUUUGUGCCGAAUACUAUUCAUCUAGAAUGUGGUAGGAAGUUUUGGAAUUAAAUAUGGAGCGGUGGAAUGUGUAGAUAUAUUUAAGAACACCAGAGGCGAAGGCGAAAACUUAGGCCAUUAUUGACGCUUAGGCUUGAAAGUGUGGGUAGCAAAUGGGAUUAGAUACCCCAGUAGUCCACACCGUAAACGAUGGGUAUUAGAUGUCGGGAUUUGUGUUUCGGCGUUGUAGCUUACGUGUUAAAUACCCCGCCUGGGUAGUACAUAUGCAAAUAUGAAACUCAAAGGAAUUGACGGGGACCUGAACAAGUGGUGGAACAUGUUGCUUAAUUCGAUAAUACACGAAAAACCUUACCAAGGUUUGACAUCCUUUGCAAAGCCAUAGAAAUAUGGUGGAGGUUAUCAGAGUGACAGGUGGUGCAUGGUUGUCGUCAGCUCGUGUCAUGAGAUGUUUGGUUAAGUCCCGCAACGAGCGCAACCCUACUCUUUAGUUGAUUGUCUAAAGAGACUGAACAGUAAUGUAUAGGAAGGAUGGGAUCACGUCAAAUCAUCAUGCCCCUUAUGCCUGAGGGAAAGGGG
This 985-nucleotide ribosomal RNA is filed under the name Candidatus Mycoplasma turicense. RNAcentral describes it as "bacterial SSU rRNA". It matches the Rfam family "Bacterial small subunit ribosomal RNA", at positions 192 to 1224 of the family's 1533-position model. The record is from RNAcentral. Lineage: Bacteria; Bacillati; Mycoplasmatota; Mollicutes; Mycoplasmatales; Mycoplasmataceae.